RNAcentral lists this ribosomal RNA (309 nucleotides) under Triticum aestivum (bread wheat). RNAcentral's name for it is "partial small subunit ribosomal RNA". The record is from RNAcentral. Lineage: Eukaryota; Viridiplantae; Streptophyta; Magnoliopsida; Poales; Poaceae.
AUGAGGACAAAGCAUGCUCUGAAUAUCUUAUCAAAGCUUAGUGUUGUUUCGGAUGGAGUACCUGUGGCCGAACUGGGUGUUGCGGCGGCAUGGUACCUUUGGUGGCAACGACGACAACUUGUGAAAGGAAUCGUGAUUCAAAACCCUGAGAGAAUAGCACAGUCUUUCGCUCCUAGCUACAAAUUACAUCAGAUCGAUGUCUCCGAAGCUCCCGACUCAGAAGAAAGAACAUAUGUGGAAAAAACCGUCUCAUGGACUGAUCUGGAGGUUGCGGUACUAUUGUGCGUGAUGAACGGGGUGGCUUUUUAG